RNAcentral lists this ribosomal RNA (433 nucleotides) under uncultured bacterium. RNAcentral describes it as "partial 16S ribosomal RNA". It matches the Rfam family "Bacterial small subunit ribosomal RNA", at positions 29 to 507 of the family's 1533-position model. The record is from RNAcentral.
AACGAACGCUGGCGGCAGGCCUAACACAUGCAAGUCGAGCGGACCUUUCGGGGUCAGCGGCGGACGGGUGAGUAACGCGUGGGAAUAUGCCCUUCUCUACGGAAUAGUCCUGGGAAACUGGGGGUAAUACCGUAUACGCCCUUUGGGGGAAAGUUUUAUCGGGGAAGGAUUAGCCCGCGUUGGAUUAGGUAGUUGGUGGGGUAAUGGCCUACCAAGCCGACGAUCCAUAGCUGGUUUGAGAGGAUGAUCAGCCACACUGGGACUGAGACACGGCCCAGACUCCUACGGGAGGCAGCAGUGGGGAAUCUUAGACAAUGGGGGCAACCCUGAUCUAGCCAUGCCGCGUGAGUGAUGAAGGCCUUAGGGUUGUAAAGCUCUUUCAGCUGGGAAGAUAAUGACGGUACCAGCAGAAGAAGCCCCGGCUAACUCCGUG